UUGAAGAUUCGUUUCCUACUAUGGAUGAUGUUUGAAUAACGCGCACAAUAUAACUAAAAAAGGGCAGUUUGUAACAUUUUUUCAGCCAAUAAGCGCAUAAUAGCAUGUAAGGCAUGUGAAAUGUGCCCGUUGACUCCUUUCGAGAAAGAAAAAGCUGCUACUAUUCUGAGGUAAGUAUAUCGUUUCUCGAAUGCGGGCAAACAACAAAUGAUGGCCCAGACAAAAACCUUAGGAAAAAAUACCCGGGACAAUUUCAGUGAAUUUUUAGAAAAGAUGCAGGAAAAAAAAAACGAGGAAGUACAUAAAUUCUUAUUAAGUGUGAUUGGAACGGAGGGAACUGAGGCGAAACAGAGAGGGGCCGAUUCACAACAAAAUCUUGCAACGAAACUCGAAGACGCUCUCCGGAAGAGUGAUGUCGUUGCGGUCUGGCGACUCAUAGCUGAUGUAGAGGAAAGCGAAAUUACGACAACAGCGAAAGAUACUACAGAAGCAAGAAAAGAAAUCAAGACACUUGCUGCCUUACAGGUUGCGAAAAGAGUGAAAAGGAAAGAAGAUGAGGGACUGUUUACGAUCCUUAGGGGCUUGUAGAGCUUGAUUCUCCCUUUUCAUUACAAUGAUAAAGGCAAAGAGACGGAAACGGGAGGCGAAAAUGUCCAGGAGAAAGCUUGGAUCAACAUUCUGACCAACUCUUUGUACAUCAGUCUCGAAUGGCUACGCAAACAGUCAUCGGCUGAGAAUGAAACGGAGACCACCGAUAUCAUUAGGGCUGCCCUACAAGAUGACUACCUCUUGGAAAAAAUUUCUUUAAAAGAAACGUCACCACGACCGGGAUGAGUAUAGGAAGAGAGCAAUGGAAUGUGAGGAAUUUUCCACUGACAUCGUAGAGCAAAUAAGUGCCUCUGAUUCAGGAAAACUUCAUAAAAUUAUGGAAAUUAAGGGAGUCGGCUCCUUGCUGAAUAGAAAUCACAAUAAUUGCAAUGAGAGUCUGAGUCUUCUCAAGAUGGCCGCUGAUAAACAACGCAAAAGUUUGCAACGAGCCCCAAAUGUCAGCUCAUUCUCGACGAGGUCAUUUACCGUGAGUGGCCCCCCAUGUGGCAGGAUACAGGGCCGACCCUGAAGGCCCUACGGACGGUUCUUCUUUCGCUAUAUUUUCAGCAUAUUUUUUGCUGUUUUCGUCUACUCCACUAUGCACCUCAUACUGAGAGGCUGUUACUGCUGUAAGUUAGAUGAAAAAGGGAGAUGCUGGAAAUUUAGGGAGCUUUUGGAGCCUCUCUACUCCAAGUUCAUCAAUCAAACCGUGUCCUACUUUAUUUUUUCUCAUCUUGGUCUUCUGGUCCACAUUUAUAACUAGAUUUGACGAAAAUAGGACAGGCUUGAUAUCUGAAUUGCGCGUUAUGUAUUUUGUUCAAGGCCUUUUGUUUCAAGAAGCCAUAGAGGUCUACAGGCAAGGUCCUUCAAUUUACUUUUCAAAAUGGUGGAACGUUGUAGACGCAUCGAUCGUUUUAACAUUCCUGCUGGCCUAUAUAAUUUCGUUUGGUGCGUGGGAAUUCUAUGGAGAGUGGAAACCAAGAGAGGCUGCGUUUAUCGUAGCUGAUUCCAUUUACGCCACGGCCGCUAUAUUGGCUUACUUCCACUUAGCACACAUCGAUCCCACAAGUCAAUUCAGUGUUGGGUCCUUUGCAGCUGUCUCUUUAGAAAAUGAUCAAGGAUUUUCUCAAGUUUCUUGCUAUUUUUUCUUCACACCCUCCAAGUGGAGAGUUUGUUGUUUUCUUUCCUUCAAAAAACUUUCGCUGUACGUGGAAUGAAACGGAACGUUUACAAACAGUAACCGUCAACUGAAAAACGGUUGUUACUAACUUUUCAGAACAACUCUAUUUGCAUGCAAGUCUGUCUCCUAUUCUGUGAAAAUAGAACUUGAAAUAACUUUCAAAGGCACACUUUCAUCACAUUGGAACAAAUUCAGUCACGUCACGCAUCUGAGGAAUUCAACUUGGUAAUAUUCUAAAGAGAUACCCCCAGUUUUCAAAUAUUGUAUGAAAAAGACCGCGCGCUGGCGAGAAUAUUUGAUGAUUUGAAAACCUUUUCCAGUUUUAGAUCUUAUGACUGUAUUGUAAAAUACUAAUUUUCAACCGUAAGGAAAAUUAAAGUUUGUGUUUGGUGUCAACAGAGAUCAAGAGCCUCACAUGUUAGUUUCUGGGCAGCAGUUACAAUGAUAUGGACUGAUAGAUCACAAACAGAAUAGGAAUCAGAUAUUUGCUGUAAAGUUGUUAGCCAUUUUCUUUUACCAAAUAUUCUCUUAUACCUUGUAAGAAUAUCAUAGCACGAUAGAAUGAUAUCAGAUUUUUUCCGUCGCUAAAUUUUCGGUAUUUUACUAACUGGGGAAAUUACUUCCCAAACUGCAAGUAAUUACAAAGUUUUAUCACAAUAUUUUUAAAAUUCUAAAAUAAAUAGAAUUUAUUCACCGGCCGG
Molecule: long non-coding RNA, 2469 nt
Filed under: Stylophora pistillata
Lineage: Eukaryota; Metazoa; Cnidaria; Anthozoa; Scleractinia; Pocilloporidae
Description: uncharacterized LOC111328898
Source: RNAcentral